GAUGAACGCUGGUGGCGUGCCUAAUACAUGCAAGUCGAGCGAACAGACGAGAGUGCUUGCACUCUCUGACGUUAGCGGCGGACGGGUGAGUAACACGUGGGUAACCUACCUAUAAGACUGGGAUAACUUCGGGAAACCGGAGCUAAUACCGGAUAAUAUUUAGCUUCGCAUGAAGCAAUAGUGAAAGACGGUUCUGCUGUCACUUAUAGAUGGACCCGCGGUGUAUUAGCUAGUUGGUGAGGUAACGGCUCACCAAGGCAACGAUACAUAGCCGACCUGAGAGGGUGAUCGGCCACACUGGGACUGAGACACGGCCCAGACUCCUACGGGAGGCAGCAGUAGGGAAUCUUCCGCAAUGGACGAAAGUCUGACGGAGCAAUGCCGCGUGAGUGAAGAAGGUUUUCGGAUCGUAAAACUCUGUUGUAAGGGAAGAACAAGUACGUUAGUAACUGAACGUACCUUGACGGUACCUUACCAGAAAGCCACGGCUAACUACGUG
Molecule: ribosomal RNA, 499 nt
Filed under: uncultured bacterium
Lineage: Bacteria
Description: partial 16S ribosomal RNA
Rfam family: Bacterial small subunit ribosomal RNA
Source: RNAcentral